RNAcentral lists this ribosomal RNA (253 nucleotides) under uncultured bacterium. RNAcentral describes it as "partial 16S ribosomal RNA". It matches the Rfam family "Bacterial small subunit ribosomal RNA", at positions 524 to 776 of the family's 1533-position model. The record is from RNAcentral.
UACAGAGGGUGCAAACGUUGUUCGGAAUUACUGGGCGUAAAGUGUGUGUAGGCGGCCUCGUAGGUCGGAGGUGAAAGCUCUCGGCUCAACCGGGAAAGUGCAUUCGAAACCACGAGGCUUGAGUGUCGGAGAGGAAGGCGGAAUUGCCGGUGUAGAGGUGAAAUGCGUAGAUAUCGACAGGAACACCUGCGGCGAAAGCGGCCUUCUGGACGAGCACUGACGCUGAGACACGAAAGCGUGGGGAGCAAACAGG